GUUUUAGUAGUUUAUAACAAAACACUGGUCUUGUAAAUCAGAAUAGAGAAAACUCAUUCUCCUUUAACU
RNAcentral lists this transfer RNA (69 nucleotides) under Asiagomphus septimus. Its description in RNAcentral is "tRNA-Thr". The record is from RNAcentral. Lineage: Eukaryota; Metazoa; Arthropoda; Insecta; Odonata; Aeshnidae.